AGUGAACGCUGGCGGUAGGCCUAACACAUGCAAGUCGAACGGCAGCACAGUAAGAGCUUGCUCUUACGGGUGGCGAGUGGCGGACGGGUGAGGAAUACAUCGGAAUCUACUUUUUCGUGGGGGAUAACGUAGGGAAACUUACGCUAAUACCGCAUACGACCUACGGGUGAAAGCAGGGGAUCUUCGGACCUUGCGCGAUUGAAUGAGCCGAUGUCGGAUUAGCUAGUUGGCGGGGUAAAGGCCCACCAAGGCGACGAUCCGUAGCUGGUCUGAGAGGAUGAUCAGCCAAACUGGAACUGAGACACGGUCCAGACACCGCCGGGAGGCAGCAGUGGGGAAUAUUGGACAAUGGGCGCAAGCCUGAUCCAGCCAUACCGCGUAGGUGAAGAAGGCCUUCGGGUUGUAAAGCCCUUUUGUUGGGAAAGAAAAGCAGCAGGUUAAUACCCCGCUGUUCUGACGGUACCCAAAGAAUAAGCACCGGCUAACUUCGUG
This 492-nucleotide ribosomal RNA is filed under the name uncultured bacterium. RNAcentral's name for it is "partial 16S ribosomal RNA". It matches the Rfam family "Bacterial small subunit ribosomal RNA", at positions 29 to 507 of the family's 1533-position model. The record is from RNAcentral.